CAUGAAGUCGGAAUUGCUAGUAAUCGUGGAUCAGCAUGCCACGGUGAAUACGUUCCCGGGCCUUGUACACACCGCCCGUCACACCAUGGGAGUCGGUAACACCCGAAGCCUGUAGUCUAACCGCAAGGAGGACGCAGUCGAAGGUGGGAUUGAUGACUGGGGUGAAGUCGUAACAAGGUAGC
This 182-nucleotide ribosomal RNA is filed under the name uncultured bacterium. Its description in RNAcentral is "partial 16S ribosomal RNA". It matches the Rfam family "Bacterial small subunit ribosomal RNA", at positions 1319 to 1500 of the family's 1533-position model. The record is from RNAcentral.